This 3991-nucleotide unclassified non-coding RNA is filed under the name Leishmania donovani. RNAcentral's name for it is "gene:LdHU3.13.0170(CDS-product:Kinesin-13_2)". The record is from RNAcentral. Lineage: Eukaryota; Euglenozoa; Kinetoplastea; Trypanosomatida; Trypanosomatidae.
CUCUUCGCCCUUGCCUUCUUGCUCCGUAGUACGGUGCACACAUAGAUACAUAAAUAUAUAGGACACGCGCGUACUUGUGCUGCCCAUUCGGCGCCACUGUUCAGUGGGGAUGCGAGAGGACAGCCCCGGCAGCGAGUCGCAGAGCCGCCAGUCAGAUCGCACCUGCGGCGUGUCGCCGGGCGGCCCUGGCGCCAGCCCAUCCAUUGUCGUAGCGGUGCGGAAGCGACCCCGCAUCCCGGGCCGCGAGGAUGACGAGAAUGACGUGGUGCGCUGCGGUGAGAAUGGUGGCCCUUCCGUCACAGUGUACGAGCCGCGCACGAAGCUCGACCUCACACCCAUCAUUGAGCCAAGCAGCUUUAGCUACGAUCACGUCUUUGGUGAAGCGUGCACUAACGAGGAGGUCUACCGCGGCUGCUGUCGACCCCUCCUCCAGAAUGUGCGGGAAGGCGGUGGCGCUGUCAUCUUUGCCUUUGGGCAGACGGGCAGCGGCAAGACUCACACGAUGCUCGGCACAGGAGAGCGUCCCGGCCUUUACAGCUUAGCCGUGACGGAGCUUCUCACCAUGACGGAGCACAGCACCAUGACGGCGAGCUUCUAUGAGGCGUACGGGGCGAAGCUCUACGACCUGCUCAACGAUCGAGCGGAGGUGAAGAUGCUGCAGGACGAGUACCAGAAUGUGCAUAUUGUCGGCAUCACUGAGCAGAUCGUCAGCUCUGUUGACGACGUCAAUGCAUUGAUGAUGAGAGGGCAGCAGUUGAGGGCGAUCGGCACAACGCACGCAAACGACCGCAGCUCACGGUCGCACGCCGUUCUAGAGAUCAAGCUGAAGCUAGCGGACAACAACAGUGAGUCGCAACUAGGCCGCAUCACCUUCGUAGACCUCGCCGGCAGCGAGCGGGCGUCCGACACGGCGGAGACGGAUGCCAAGACGCGCCGCGAAGGCGCCGAGAUCAACAAAUCGCUGCUGGCGUUGAAGGAGUGCAUACGUGCCAUGUCGAUGCGCAAGCGGCACAUCCCGUUCCGCGGCUCGAAACUGACGCAGAUUCUUCGCGAGAGCUUCGUUGGCCGCUGCAAGACGUGUGUGAUCGCGGCGAUAUCGCCGUGCCAGAGCCACUGCGAGGACACCCUCAACACCCUCCGCUACGCAGACCGCAUCAAGGAGCUGAAGGGGCCUGCAAACCCGCACAACGGUGUGAAGCCGAUCCCGUGUAAGACGUGCGGUCAGCCGAUCUUCAUUGGCGACCGACACGUGUGCAAGCGCCAGCUGGCAGCCUGCCCCCACUGUAGGCAGGAUGUGGACAAACAGGAGCUAGACACGCAUGUGGCCGAGUGCAAGGAGUCACCUAUGCGUUGCCAGUACUGCAACGAGCGCAUGCUGCGCAGCGAGUCGGUCAGCCACAGCCGGCGCUGCGCCCGCGCCCCGAUUCGCUGCGGCGCAUGCGGUGCCACCGUACCACGCCAGCUCAUGGACAGGCACACUCAGCAGGAGUGCGCGGAGGCCAAGGUGAAGUGUCGAUACUGCGGCUGUGUGCAGAGUCGUCAAUUACUCGCGGCGCAUGAGCAGAACUGCGACGUUGCGAAGGUGGCGUGCCCGCACUGCCUGCAGUUUGUGCGCAAGAGGCGAUUGGAUGGACACGUUGCGAGCUGCGCGCGCAACCUCAGUCGUGCAAUGCAUACACCGCGCAGCACUGCUCUGAAUAUCAUCGCGUCGGCUUCGAUGGAGACAUCACAGACGCUGGCCUCCUCCUCCUCCAGCAUCGGAGCGCAGCAGAGCAUUCUGAAGAGUGCUACAGCCCAGACAGCAGCGUCAUCGCGCACAUCUUCCUCGCACAAUCGAAACGUAGCUGCCGAGCCGGCGGGUGGACAGGUAGACCUGGUGGCUGCGGACGAAGGCACCGGCCCCCUCACGUUCACUCGAGCGCACUCAUCUCCGAGGUCAUCGGCUCAGCUGGCCAGCAGUGCACCGUUUGCGAACCGAUCCCAGUCGAACCGUGCACCGGCGGCAGGAGGUCGCUGGAACGCCGGUGCCCUAGGCGCCGACGAGGCCAGCGCCGCGUGCGAUAACGACUGCGGCAGCGUUGUCUGCCCGUACUCGCGCUACGGCUGCCCUGUCAAGGUGACGCGACUGAACGUGGCAGCCCAUCUGAAGGAGUCGAUGCAGCAGCACCUAGAGCUCGUCACGACGUACGCGGACCGCGUGGAUGAGCAGAACAUGCAGCUGCGACGCCUCGUGAUACACGAGACGGACACGUUGAGCAGUCGGGCCACGAUGGAACGUCUGGACAAGUGAGUCGAGACAGCCCGAGUUUUUGUUGUGCCGCCUCGCCCCGUUGUUUUGCUCCGGCCUCUUCUUCACCGCGUCGGUUGUUUUCUUAUUAUUGCAGCAAUGCGUGCUCCCUGCACACGGCUCUUCAACCAUGCGUGUCGGUGCGUGUGUGCGCAAACAUGUGUUGCUCCCGCUCCCUCCACCCCUCCCUGUCGAGGAGCGCCACCACACCGCACGGAUGCACACGCGUGUGUCUCCUCUCGCCACCCUCUCAGUACUCUGUUCAACUUUCUUCCACACACAUCUCACGUUCAUGCGUGCGCAUAUACAUACAGACUCGUAUAGUUGGGCUGCCCAUCGCCCACUUUUUCCGUUUCUUGGCUCCGCCCCUCCCCGAACUCCUCCGCUGCCGCUGUUACUAUUAUUGCUUGCAUGCAUGGCUCGCACUCACCCACCACACUUCACCAUACCCCUACUCUCUGCCGUUUUGAGUCGUCGUGUGUUUAAGAUCGUUGUUUGUGUCUUGCCUCUCGCAAUUUUUCUCUCUUCCAUGUACAGUCGUCGGCUUCACAUAUCCCCCUCUCACGCUGCCUCUUUCCCCUCUCCCCCCGGGUCGCAGCUGCACCGGUGACGGCCGCCGCCGCCUCCCCGACCGUCUGCCUAUUUCUUAGGCCUCCGCACUGCACAAACCCACGCAUGGCACUUUCCCAUGCUGACUUCUUUUCUCCAUCGCCCUCUUGUUUUUGUGUUCGUGCUGCUGGGCUGGGACGUGAGUUUGUGCGCAACCACUCAGCUGUCUCCUCCCUCUCCUCCAGCACCUUGCCCAGUGCGUCCCUUAUUCUUUCCGUGUCCUUGCGUAUUCUCGUGUGUUUGUCUUCUCUCGCUUGGUGUUGUGUGCCGCGUUGCGUGCGUCAACCUCGCCUCCUCCUCGCCUCCUCCUCGCCUCCUCCUCGCCUCAUACACGGACACACCCACGUGCGCUCCUUCCUCCCCUUCCUCAACUCACCCUCACUCGGUUGUUCGUUCUCUCUUUGUUGGCCGAUCUUUUCGGGUUGACGCGCGCGGAAGUGCGGCGAGGUGCCUCGUGGUGGAGGAGGCGCUGUCUAGACGGGCAGACUUGCACGAUGUAAUGCGUUGGGGUUGGCUGGCCGGUGAGCCAAGUGCUUUGUAUAUGUGUGUAGGCGUGCAUGCCGACGCCUCUUCUCACCUCCCUUGGCCCCUGUACGAGUGCUGCUGCUGCAGGUGCGGUUGCUGCCAUGACGGGAGUGGUGGCGCACGUGUCUCUCUGCCUCUUUAUGCCGUUUGAACUUCGCGCGUUGCACCUCUUUGCACCCCCCCCCCCCCCCCCCCCCCAACAGCGAGGGCGACAAGACGGACCGUCAUGAAUUCACUCACACACGCACAUGUAAAUAUUUUCGGUACGCACAGGCGUGCCGUGUUAAGCCGCCACACAUCUCUGUUGGUCUGUGCUCGUUUGUGUGCAAACCAUCAGAGAGAGAGACGUCGACGAAGACGCAUCCUCUUGCCUAUCUCGGCUCUGCCCCCCCCCCCCCCCCCCCUUCCCCCGACCUCUCCUUCGCGUGAGGGUGCUGCUCAUACUCUCCCCAUCUUAUCUCUCUUGCGAUCCGCUCUACGCCGUAUACACACACACACACACUUAAUUGUGUAUGUGCUUGCCUGUGAGCGUCUCAUCGCCCUUGCGUGUGCGCUUCACGGCCACAUCAG